UGAUAGGUAAAUAAAAAAAAA
This 21-nucleotide non-coding RNA is filed under the name Caenorhabditis elegans. Lineage: Eukaryota; Metazoa; Nematoda; Chromadorea; Rhabditida; Rhabditidae. The record is from RNAcentral.